Molecule: ribosomal RNA, 534 nt
Filed under: Comoclathris incompta
Lineage: Eukaryota; Fungi; Ascomycota; Dothideomycetes; Pleosporales; Pleosporaceae
Description: Pleospora incompta partial 18S ribosomal RNA
Rfam family: Group I catalytic intron (bases 18-385)
About the family: Group I catalytic introns are large self-splicing ribozymes.
Source: RNAcentral
UUGGAAAGUAAAAAUCGUAACAAGGUUGAUUCUUCGCACACUUGCGGAAGCCUUUGCAGCUGGCAACAGCUAGGCCGAGCGACUAUAAAUGGAAAAUCGCGCCGUUGCAAGUCAGCGAUUUGCUGGCGACACUUUCGAAUUGCGGGGAACUCCUAAAGCUCUUUCCACCAAACCAGCCUGGGAAACCAGCUGGUGGCCUGUGUGAAACCACAGGGGAUGGUAACAGUGAAAGAGAUGCGCGUAGCCACGCAAAAUGGACAAUCCGCAGCGAAGCCCCUGCCUGGCCACCGCCAAAAUCGGGGAACGUUCACAGACUAAGUGGAAGUGGGUGGAGCGUUGCGACGCUCUGCUUAAGAUAUAGUCGGGCCCAUGUGGAAACACGUGGGAUAGAUCUGAACCAGAUCUAGAAAGCACCGUUCCGUAGGUGAACCUGCGGAAGGAUCAUUACAUAUUGAGCGCGGCCGGGGACCCCAAGCGCCAUCGUUUUGCCUCUGGCAGGCGUAACGCUUGCCCGGCUUGCGUGAAUAUUCACCC